This 631-nucleotide long non-coding RNA is filed under the name Phoenix dactylifera (date palm). RNAcentral describes it as "long non-coding RNA (PDAC_LNC015763)". The record is from RNAcentral. Lineage: Eukaryota; Viridiplantae; Streptophyta; Magnoliopsida; Arecales; Arecaceae.
GAAGCAUCUCUACAAUGGCUUAGGAUUGUUGUGUGCUAAUCAGACUUGAGGUAAUUAGACUUGAUGAAUAUUUUAUAGGACUGUUUAGUUCCAUCUAUAAAAUCAUCAAACUAAAUGGAGAGCUCUCUUUUUGUUGGGCAUACUGGUUAGAAAGUUGGGAGAUUGUUGUAUAUAAAAUUGCAUGACUAUGAUGAGAAUGUUCAGAAUCAUAAUUGCAAAUGAAAGAAUCAGGCUUCAUCAGCGUGUGAAAGUUUUUGUAGAUUAAACAACUUGCAGGAUCAUUGGCAGAGUGGGUAUAUGCUUAGCAUGAUUUAUCAACAGUUAUUUGGCAUAAUAAUGAAAUAUAUUUAAUUCCAGCUGAUUCAUAUGAAAGAGCAAAUAAGUAUAUGUGUUGGCCUAAUGUUAUAGAUGGUUUGUACCUGUGAGCCUGGUCGAAUUCAACCUGUUAGAAGUCUGAUGGUUUAUGUGCAAUGUGGGUUGUCUAUUGGUCAAGCUCAAUCAACCCAUAUAUAGCUGGGUUAGGUUACAGAUAGUUGAAUUGCCAUGUCAUUGUCAUAUGGUAGGAGGGGAAGGAUGACAUGCACUGAAAGCAUACACAUGUUGAGUCUUGAGUGAAUUCUCUCUCUCUCUC